RNAcentral lists this unclassified non-coding RNA (1182 nucleotides) under Hevea brasiliensis (rubber tree). The record is from RNAcentral. Lineage: Eukaryota; Viridiplantae; Streptophyta; Magnoliopsida; Malpighiales; Euphorbiaceae.
AGACCGCAACUUUUUUUCAUUUAUAUUUUACAGCAUUGAAUCUGCAACUCUCCCGCACUCAUGAUGAACCCUCAUUCUUUAAUAUUUGUCAUUGCUAAUUUACUCCUCUUUUCUCAAUUCUCAGAUGCAACCGAUACACUUACUUCAUCCCAAUCUAUUGCCGAUAGCACUGGCGGUACCUUGGUUUCACAAGAUGGAAGUUUUGAGCUUGGUUUCUUCUCACCUGGUAGUUCCAGGAACCGUUAUUUGGGAAUUUGGUAUAAAAAUAUCUCUGUUAGAACUGUUGUUUGGGUUGCAAACCGUAGCAGUCCAAUCAACGAUACCUCUGGUUUAUUGAUGAUAAACAACAUGGGCAAUCUCAUCAUAGUUAGUAGCAAGAACAUGGGUAGUGUUGUUUGGUCGUCAAACUCAUCGAAAGCUGCAGCCCUGCAAAGCCCAGUAGUACAGCUACAGGAUUCGGGAAAUCUGGUCUUAAGAGAAGAAAAAGAUGAUGAAAACUCUGGAAUCUACUUAUGGCAGAGUUUUGAUCAUCCAACUGAUACAUUGCUACCAGGGAUGAAGAUCGGAGUGAACUUGAAGACAAGAUUUGAAUGGCAAAUCACAUCUUGGAAAAACAGGGAUGAUCCUUCACCUGGGGACUUAGUUUGGAAGAUCAUACCACAUAAUUACCCUGAAUCAACCAUAUGGAAUGGCUCCAACAUUUUCUCUCGAACAGGCCCAUGGAAUGGCAUCUCCUUCAGUGGUAGUCUUAUGUUAAGGCUUAACAAAAUCUUUGAUUUCUACUUUGUGAACACGGAGGAGGAGGUUUACUACAUAUACUACCUUAAAAAGAAAUCAGUAAUUUCAAGGGUUGUAAUGAACCCAAGCAGCAAUAGAAGGGAGCGCCAGAUAUGGGAUGAAUCAUCUAUGAAAUGGAUUCUGUAUUCAUAUAUACCAACGGAUUACUGCGACCAAUAUGACAAUUGUGGUCCCUAUGGAAUUUGCGUCGUUGAUGGCGUCGUUGAUGCAUCGCCCAUUUGUCAAUGUUUGAAAGGUUUCGACCCUAAAUCACCAGAGCAGUGGAAUUCAGGGGUUACGUCUCAUGGCUGUAAGCGUAACAAAUCAUUGGACUGCAGCCAGGGUACUGGAGAUGGAUUUCUCAAAUUUACAGGAUUAAAAUUGCCAGAUACUACGCAUUCUUGG